GUUAUAUGGUCAAGUGACCAAGCGCACACGGUGGAUGCCUAGGCGGUAAGAGGCGAUGAAGGACGUGACAGCCUGCGAAAAGCUCCGGGGAGUCGGCAAUACGCGUUGAUCCGGAGAUGUCCGAAUGGGGAAACCCACCUCUUAGGAGGUAUCCAUGACUGAAUACAUAGGUCAUGGAGGCGAACCGAGCGAACUGAAACAUCUAAGUAGCUCGAGGAAAAGAAAUCAACCGAGAUUCCCCUAGUAGCGGCGAGCGAACGGGGAGUAGCCCAUCAAGCGCAUUUCGAUUUAGUGGAACAUUCUGGAAAGUUUGGCCAUAGCGGGUGAUAGCCCCGUACACGAAAGGUCGUUAUGCGUGAUGUCGAGUAGGGCGGGACACGUGGAAUCCUGUCUGAACAUGGGGGGACCAUCCUCCAAGGCUAAAUACUCCUUACCGACCGAUAGUGAACCAGUACCGUGAGGGAAAGGCGAAAAGAACCCCGGCGAGGGGAGUGAAAUAGAACCUGAAACCGUGUGCGUACAAGCAGUAGGAGCAGAUUCGUUCUGUGACUGCGUACCUUUUGUAUAAUGGGUCAGCGACUUACUGAUCGUGGCAAGCUUAACCGAGUAGGGGAGGCGUAGCGAAAGCGAGUCUGAACAGGGCGUUCAGUCGCGGUCAGUAGACCCGAAACCGGCGCGAUCUACCCAUGGCCAGGGUGAAGGUCAGGUAAUACUGACUGGAGGCCCGAACCCACUAAUGUUGAAAAAUUAGGGGAUGAGCUGUGGGUCGGAGUGAAAGGCUAAUCAAGCCCGGAGAUAGCUGGUUCUCCUCGAAAGCUAUUUAGGUAGCGCCUCAUGUCUCACUCUCGGGGGUAGAGCACUGUUAUGGCUAGGGGGUCAUCCCGACUUACCAAACCAUGGCAAACUCCGAAUACCGAGAAGUGCAAUCAUGGGAGACACACAGUGGGUGCUAACGUCCAUUGUGGAGAGGGAAACAACCCAGACCGCCAGCUAAGGCCCCAAAGUGUGUGCUAAGUGGGAAACGAUGUGGGAAGGCAGAGACAGCCAGGAGGUUGGCUUAGAAGCAGCCAUCCUUUAAAGAAAGCGUAAUAGCUCACUGGUCAAGUCGGCCUGCGCGGAAGAUUUACCGGGGCUCAAGCACACCGCCGAAGCUGCGGAUGCCGUAAGGCAUGGUAGAGGAGCGUUCCGUAGGCCUGCGAAGGUGAACUGUGAGGUUUGCUGGAGGUAUCGGAAGUGCGAAUGCUGACAUGAGUAACGAUAAUACGAGUGAAAACCUCGUACGCCGAAAGUCCAAGGUUUCCUGCGCAACGCUAAUCGGCGCAGGGUGAGUCGGCCCCUAAGGCGAGGCUGAGAAGCGUAGUCGAUGGGAAGCAGGUUAAUAUUCCUGCACCGACCGUUAUUGCGAUGGGGGGACGGAGAAGGCUAGACCAGCCGGCAGAUGGUGUCCGGUUUAAGCCCGUAGGCGGAUCUCUUAGGCAAAUCCGGGAGAUCAACGCCGAGAGGUGAUGACGAGUUCCCAAGGGAACGAAGUGGUUGAUGCCAGGCUUCCAGGAAAAGCCUCUAAGCUUCAGAUAACGGUUGACCGUACCCGAAACCGACACAGGUGGACUGGAUGAGAAUUCCAAGGCGUUGAGAGAACUCGGGUGAAGGAACUAGGCAAAAUAGCACCGUAACUUCGGGAGAAGGUGCGCCCCCGUUAGGUGAUCGGACUUGCUCCGUAAGCUGAAGGGGGUUGCAGUGACCAGGCCGCUGCGACUGUUUAUCAAAAACACAGCACUCUGCAAACUCGAAAGAGGACGUAUAGGGUGUGACGCCUGCCCGGUGCCGGAAGGUUAAUUGAUGGGGUUAUCUUCGGAGAAGCCCUUGAUCGAAGCCCCGGUAAACGGCGGCCGUAACUAUAACGGUCCUAAGGUAGCGAAAUUCCUUGUCGGGUAAGUUCCGACCUGCACGAAUGGCGUAACGAUGGCGGC
RNAcentral lists this ribosomal RNA (1970 nucleotides) under Candidatus Altarchaeales archaeon. RNAcentral describes it as "partial 23S ribosomal RNA". It matches the Rfam family "Bacterial large subunit ribosomal RNA", at positions 1 to 2014 of the family's 2925-position model. The record is from RNAcentral. Lineage: Archaea; Nanobdellati; Candidatus Altarchaeota; Candidatus Altarchaeia; Candidatus Altarchaeales.